Oncorhynchus tshawytscha (Chinook salmon) is the source of this 563-nucleotide long non-coding RNA. NCBI's taxonomy places the organism in Eukaryota, Metazoa, Chordata, Actinopteri, Salmoniformes, Salmonidae. The record is from Ensembl.
AUGGCAGGUAGAAUCUAUUGAUGACAUGGCAGUAAUGGCAGGUAGAAUCUAUUGAUGACAUGGCAGUAAUGGCAGGUAGAAUCUAUUGAUGACAUGGCAGUAAUGGCAGGUAGAAUCUAUUGAUGACAGGUAGAAUCUAUUGAUUACAUGGCAGUAAUGGCAGACAGAAUCUAUUGAUGACAUGGCAGUAAUGGCAGAUAGAAUCUAUUGAUGACAUGGCAGUAAUGGCAGGUAGAAUCUAUUGAUGACAUGGCAGUAAUGGCAGGUAGAAUCUAUUGAUGACAUGGCAGUAAUGGCGGGUAGAAUCUAUUGAUGGCAGGUAGAAUCUAUUGAUGGCAGGUAGAAUCUAUUGAUUACAUGGCAGUAAUGGCAGGUAGAAUCUAUUGAUUACAUGGCAGUAAUGGCAGGUAGAAUCUAUUGAUGACAUGGCAGUAAUGGCAGGUAGAAUCUAUUGAUGACAUGGCAGGUAGAAUCUAUUGAUGACAUGGCAGUAAUGGCGGGUAGAAUCUAUUGAUGGCAUGGCAGUAAUGGCAGGUAGAAUCUAUUGAUUACAUGGCAGUAAU